GGAUGUUAGGGUAAUCUGGCUGCAAUAUCUGUCACCAUUUUGAUUGCUAGGAUUAACAUGGCAGUUUUGGUUGACUAGGUGGGUGUCCCCUUCCUCCCUCACUACUCCAUGUGCAAUCCUCCUGAAGCUGCAUGCUUGGUCGAAAAGGAUAACUAUCCCAGACAGGAGUGUGCCAUUCUUUUAUCACACAUAGGCAAAAUCUUCAAAGAGAUGUCCCAGAGAAAGUCUAACUAAAGUGCCACUAGAAAUUGCCUUGAAAAAGUAUGCUGCACAUCCAGUGCUCUUCAAAGUGGUGGCGUGCUGUCUGCAUUCCUAC
This 316-nucleotide small nuclear RNA is filed under the name Salvator merianae (Argentine black and white tegu). Its description in RNAcentral is "7SK RNA (ENSSMRG00000013343.1)". It matches the Rfam family "7SK RNA". From Rfam's summary of the family: 7SK was discovered as an abundant small nuclear RNA in the mid-70s but a possible function has only recently been suggested. Two independent studies have found that 7SK RNA binds the CDK9/cyclin T complex (known as elongation factor P-TEFb). Lineage: Eukaryota; Metazoa; Chordata; Lepidosauria; Squamata; Teiidae. The record is from RNAcentral.